Molecule: long non-coding RNA, 286 nt
Organism: Cyprinus carpio carpio
Lineage: Eukaryota; Metazoa; Chordata; Actinopteri; Cypriniformes; Cyprinidae
Source: Ensembl
CAGCAGGGAGGUUCCUCGAUGUCCGCCAGGGAGAUCGGAGCAUAGAGGAUUAUGCCUGGGACUUCGUGGGGGCGGCUCGGUUGUCAGCUGCAGAAAGGACCUGCCUAAUGGUCUGUUUCUGCGGAGGCCUAGCCGAGCCCUUCAGGUCCCUUAUGCCAUUCUGGCACCCUGAGAAGACGCUGGAGGACUAUAUCAACCUGGGCCUGCAGCUGAGUGGCUCAGCCGUCAGGUUGGGGGUGCUGACCCAGGAAGUUCCAGAGGCGGCGGUGGCCGCUCACCAGGUUCC